This 506-nucleotide ribosomal RNA is filed under the name uncultured Chloroflexota bacterium. Its description in RNAcentral is "bacterial SSU rRNA". It matches the Rfam family "Bacterial small subunit ribosomal RNA", at positions 377 to 896 of the family's 1533-position model. The record is from RNAcentral. Lineage: Bacteria; Bacillati; Chloroflexota.
GCAAGUCUGAUGCAGCAACGCCGCGUGGAGGAUGAUUGGUCUUUUGGAUUGUAAACUCCUUUUUCUCAGGGAAGAGAAUGGACGGUACCUGAGGAAUAAGUCACGGCUAACUACGUGCCAGCAGCCGCGGUAAUACGUAGGUGGCAAGCGUUAUCCGGAAUUACUGGGCGUAAAGCGCACGCAGGCGGUCUCUUAAGUUUGACGUGAAAGCUCCCGGCUUAACUGGGAGAGGUCGUUGAAUACUGGGAGACUUGAGGCAAUGAGAGGGGUGUAGAAUUCAGGUGUAGUGGUGGAAUGCGUAGAUAUCUGGAGGAAUGCCAGUGGCGAAAGCGGCACCCUAGCGUUGUUCUGACGCUCAUGUGCGAAAGCGUGGGGAGCGAACGGGAUUAGAUACCCCGGUAGUCCACGCCGUAAACGAUGAACACUAGGUGUAGGUGAUGUGAAAGUUAUCUGUACCGAAGCCAACGCGUUAAGUGUUCCGCCUGGGGAGUACGGCCGCAAGGCUA